This is a long non-coding RNA of Amphiprion ocellaris (clown anemonefish), 1740 nucleotides long. RefSeq lists it as uncharacterized. The record is from RefSeq and is a predicted model, not a curated record. NCBI's taxonomy places the organism in Eukaryota, Metazoa, Chordata, Actinopteri, Pomacentridae. The transcript is spliced from 2 exons.
GUAGGGUCGAAAAGGCAGAUCACAGUUCAGUGAUGUGGGUAAUUGAUAAUGGAGAGCACACACUGGCAGACUGGGGAGGGAUGUUGUCAUGACUCAGCUGGUAUCGCUUGAGCUUGUUAGAUUUCUCUAGAAGUCGUUAAAACUUUCCUCCCACUAAUAUCUCAGUAUUGCUAAAAAAAAAAAACUUAUGAAAACAAAUGUAAUAAUUUAACACAUAGAUUGAUGCAUUACAGUUCUUAAGUUCAGUAAUUUGAAUAUAUAUAUAUAUUAGUGCUGUCAAACAACUAAAAUAUUUAAUCAGAUUAAUCACCGGGUUGCUGUGGACUAAUUUCAAUUAAUCAUGAUUAAAUAUCAUUCCUUUUAAAUCGAAAUUGUGUUUCAUUUUGCAUGCACAGAUUCAAGAAAGAAGAGAAUAUACUUAACAUUUAACAAUUAAGGUGUUUAUUAAACACCUUUAAAGGUUCAUGUUAGAAUCCCCGACUAACGCAUGCUUCACAUUAAUGUGGUACUUUAAGCUGGAAGUGCUUCGGUGAAAAGAAAACUCCUUCCUGCAGAGUGUGCAUAUUACUGUAUGUCGAUUGUUUAGUCUUGUUUUUUUGUUUUUUUUGUAUUCAAAUUUCCCACCGAGAUGGCCAUCGUGCUGUUUAGUAGGGCCCAACCGAUAUGGAUUUUUUAGAGGCCGAUUCCAAUAUUUGGCGGGAAAAAAUUCUGCUAAUUAAUCGGAUGAUUAAUUUAGAAAAUAUAAAAUGAAUAAAAUAACUUCUUUUUUGAUCCUUUAACACUUACAAAAACAAAGAUAUGAAUUACAGGCAAAACAGUUUACUGUUUCACAAUACUUUGUCCUUCAGUAUUUGUUUAACUUUACAACAGAGAGGAAUUUUCAAGCACAAAAAACAUGCAGCAAAGCAUUGUGUAUGUUUUUAAAAAUACUAUAGAAGAUAUAGACAAAGGAAAACAAGUUACAAGUUCAGUCAUUUUAGGGACCAAAUGUCCUCUUUCAGCAUUGCCUACCUCAUUUGAUUAACACUAUAUAUAAGUUUGGACACACCCUUUCAUUUAAUGCUUUUUAUUUAUUUGUGUUAUUUUCUUCGUUGUAGAUUAACACUGAAAAUUAACACUUCUUUUGUGCUGCAGGAGGAGGUGCUGCAGAGAGCCAGCGUCACCACAUUGGGUCUGGCUGCAGGUGUUGUCACCAUGGGAAUGAGACGAGCCCCUCCUGUGGUUGAAGGCUGGCUCUUGCUUCAUCAACUACAACAUCACUCCUGUGGAGGUGCCCUAGGAGGCUUCAAAAUGUCAGGCAUCAGGCAGGACAAUGGCCAGCCUUCAUAAGGCGGUGCACGACAAUGGAGAACUGGAAACCAGUAGAAGAGGCCAAGCUUCAAAAGGCACGCAUAAAAAGAGGUCAGUAAAGUAAUUGGCUUUUCAAACAUAAUGUUUACAGCUGCCCCCUUGUUCACUAGUCCUGUUUUUUACCAUUGUUUGACAUGUUUUUAAACCAGUGGUUCUCAACUGGUCGGUCAAGACCCAAAUGUGUGUUGCAAGGCCUUUUUCAGUGGGUUGUAAAUUCAAUAAUCUUGUAAAUUUUGUACCUUUUUUCAAAGUUAAAACUUGUUUUUAUAACUGUUUUUCAAAAAUUGUGACUUUUUUCUCCAAAAAUUGUGACUUUUGUGAUUGCUAUCAUUGUUACAGUUCACUGUUCAUUGUGUUGUAUUAAAUAAAUGGGGUUGCAGUUUGCUCUCA